AAAGAAACUAACUAGGAUUCCCUUAGUAACGGCGAGUGAACCGGGAUGAGCUCAAAUUUAAAAUCUGGCGUCUUUCAGGCGUCCGAGUUGUAAUCUAUAGAGGCGUUUUCCGCGCCGGACCGCGUCCAAGUCCCUUGGAAUAGGGUAUCAAAGAGGGUGACAAUCCCGUACUUGACGCGACGACCGGUGCUCUGUGAUACGUUCUCAACGAGUCGAGUUGUUUGGGAAUGCAGCUCUAAAUGGGUGGUAAAUUCCAUCUAAGGCUAAAUAUUGGCGAGAGACCGAUAGCGAACAAGUACCGUGAGGGAAAGAUGAAAAGCACUUUGGAAAGAGAGUUAAACAGCACGUGAAAUUGUUAAAAGGGAAACGAUUGAAGUCAGUCGUGUGGGAGGUAUUCAGCCGUCUCUGGCGGUGUAUUUGCCUCUCACGGGUCAACAUCAGUUUGAUCCGGUAGAAAAAGGCGGGAGGAAGGUGGCACCCUCGGGUGUGUUAUAGCCUCCUGUCACAUGUGCCGGACCAGACUGA
This 525-nucleotide ribosomal RNA is filed under the name Vishniacozyma heimaeyensis. Its description in RNAcentral is "partial large subunit ribosomal RNA". It matches the Rfam family "Eukaryotic large subunit ribosomal RNA", at positions 58 to 589 of the family's 3401-position model. The record is from RNAcentral. Lineage: Eukaryota; Fungi; Basidiomycota; Tremellomycetes; Tremellales; Bulleribasidiaceae.